This is a long non-coding RNA of Passer domesticus (house sparrow), 412 nucleotides long. RefSeq lists it as uncharacterized. Lineage: Eukaryota; Metazoa; Chordata; Aves; Passeriformes; Passeridae. The record is from RefSeq and is a predicted model, not a curated record. The transcript is spliced from 3 exons.
UCCUGUGCUGGUACCCGAAUUGCUCUCAGGGAAACGGACACAUUUGUAUUCUGUCACUGCUACCGUGGCCAGAGAGAUCUCCGAGUCCCACAGCUCCAAUUUAGAAAAUCUUGCUGCACAGCGCUUUGAAGAAAAAGUGUUUCUCCAGUGAGAAAAAGCAGUGAUUGUGGGAAUGAAUGGCUGGUGGCACCGUGGGAGGUGGCAUAACUGUGAGUCAGCAUUGUGGUGUGUCUGAUCUCAAGGACCUCACAUGAUGUGCUCUGAGAAGAGGACGCUCCAGGAAGGGCCAUGUCUAAAGGAGACAGACAAGAGCUCUGUGUGGUUUGGAGCAGGGGUGCAGGUGGCCAUGGAGCUACAAACGACUCAUCUCCAGAGGUGCUGCCACAGACUGACUGCCUUCAAAUUCCUACAC